This 323-nucleotide unclassified non-coding RNA is filed under the name Hevea brasiliensis (rubber tree). Lineage: Eukaryota; Viridiplantae; Streptophyta; Magnoliopsida; Malpighiales; Euphorbiaceae. The record is from RNAcentral.
GGGGAAGGAAGAAAUACCUAGUUUCUUUGCAUUCUGCUGUCUAUGGGGUUUGAGAAUACGCUCUUUUGUUUUCAAUUGAAGAAGAAGGGGCUAUUACUUUCUCAUAUCUGCUCCUUCUAUCAUUGGGAUGGUGAUAUCUAUCGAUAAGAAAGGCUCGAUGAAGUGAGAAGAUGUCAGAUUAAAGGAGAAGGCAGCAGCCUAGAGACGAGGUUUUGUAAGACGUAGUAUUGUUUCGUAAUUGGGGAAGUGCCCAAUGGGAUAGGAGCUAAAGGCUGACACGGUGUUGAUCCAAUAGGGCUUCUUUUUGUUUUAUGCUUUUAAGA